RNAcentral lists this ribosomal RNA (253 nucleotides) under uncultured bacterium. Its description in RNAcentral is "partial 16S ribosomal RNA". It matches the Rfam family "Bacterial small subunit ribosomal RNA", at positions 524 to 776 of the family's 1533-position model. The record is from RNAcentral.
UACGAAGGGGGCUAGCGUUGUUCGGAAUUACUGGGCGUAAAGCGUGCGCAGGCGGCUUUCCAAGUCAGUGGUGAAAGCCCGGAGCUCAACUCCGGAAAUGCCAUUGAAACUGUGAAGCUUGAGAACGAGAGAGGUGAGUGGAAUUCCCAGUGUAGAGGUGAAAUUCGUAGAUAUUGGGAAGAACACCAGUGGCGAAGGCGGCUACCUGGACAAUUGCUGACGCUCAGGCACGAAAGCGUGGGGAGCAAAAGGG